This 253-nucleotide ribosomal RNA is filed under the name uncultured bacterium. RNAcentral's name for it is "partial 16S ribosomal RNA". It matches the Rfam family "Bacterial small subunit ribosomal RNA", at positions 524 to 776 of the family's 1533-position model. The record is from RNAcentral.
UACGAAGGGAGCUAGCGUUGUUCGGAAUCACUGGGCGUAAAGCGCACGUAGGCGGAUUUGUCAGUCAGGGGUGAAAUCCCGGGGCUCAACCUCGGAACUGCCUUUGAUACUGUCGAUCUGGAGUAUGGAAGAGGUGAGUGGAAUUCCGAGUGUAGAGGUGAAAUUCGUAGAUAUUCGGAGGAACACCAGUGGCGAAGGCGGCUCACUGGUCCAUUACUGACGCUGAGGUGCGAAAGCGUGGGGAGCAAACAGG